GAGUGGAUAGUGGAAGAGAGAUGUGGAGAGUAGGAUGGUGGAAGGGGGAGGUGGAGGUGGCUAUGGCGGACGUGACUGGGUUGAGGUGGUGGUUGUGGUGGUGUUUGGUAUGGUUGGAAUGGUUGUAGAGGGUGUUGCUAGUGAUGGUGAACGUGACUGGCUUAUGUUAAAGGUGGUUGUGGUUGUUGGGGAUGGUGGUGGUUGUGUGACAGUGGUGGGUGCAGCGGACGCAACGGUGUUGUGGUUGUUGGGUGUGGUUGAGGAUUGCGAUGGUGGUGGUGGUGGAGGUGGAGGUGAUAGGUGGCGGUGGUCGUAGUCGGAGCGGGCUAAGCGGUGGUGGUGGUGGUGUAAAAAGGUGUUUAUCGGACGGAGUGGAAGUGGUGGUGGUGGCGGUGAUACGAUUAUCAGGGAUGAGAGAGAGAGAGAGAGAGAGAGAGAGAGAGAGAGAGAGAGAGAGAGAGUGUGUGUGUGUGUGUGUGUGUGUGUGUGUACUCCUAUAAUCAGCAAAUUGCAGUCACUCGUUCGCUUGUUUCACCUCCCUGUUUCAGGCCUUCUCUCCCCUUCCCUUCCUCCUCGCUCCCUUCCUAGCCUGCCCGCCACCCUCUCCCCGCUUUUCCCUGCCUGUCCUCCCCUGCUCCUCGUGUCCCAGGUGACCCAUGAACUACCUCUAACAAUGGUGAUGAAGAACCAGAAGUGGGUUGUAGGUGACGAGAUAACUAUCCCAGGUCAUCCCGGAAGUGGCGAGGUGACCCCAUACAGCUCCACAAGGUCGUGGAGGACACCAGACAUAGCCACGUGGUCGCCUACACUCAGCCAUCCACCUCACCUGCCCCAGACUGCUACCCGGACACCAUCCAGCCACAAGAACCCAGAUAAAUAAAUUGUUAUCUUUCCAAGGGUUGAGGAGAACAUGGUCGUGGUUCAAGUGAAGCCACUACAGCCACUCCCUGACAAGCCUUCCACACCGACAGACAGUGGCAGCAGACACACAAGAGACGAUGGUGUGGUGGACAAGAGGAUGCAGGGAGACAGCAGACAGAAUGGAAGCUACAGAUGAAAGAAGAGCAGGUCAAGCCAUGGCAGCAGACACAUAGACAGACAGAUUGGAUAAGAAAGAAGUAUUAUUUAGUGAGACAGGACCACUGGAAGCUGUCAGAGUGCUGUGGCACGUGGCAAGAACCAAGUGUUCAGGAGCACACACUGUCCCUUCACCAGUCAGCAGAUCUGGGCGGCUUGGAAGCCUCACUACAAACUGAAGACCCGUUCACUUGAAGGACACAGUUGGAGUCGGACACAAGAUCCAAGAUGGAGUUAUUUUUAAACGAGAGCUUCAGGCAGAAAAUUCGAGUGGAUUUUCAACUCUAAAAAUAACUUUUUUGGGGGGGAUAUUUUGAACCUUCUUUAUCUUGAAAAAUAACUGCAGAUAUCAUGACUCUAGCUGGAAAUUGACCUGAGCAAUGUAGGGUUUGCUGCAGUGAGAUUACCAAGGCACGAGUGUCUGGGAUUUAAAGAUGAUGGAUAUGUGUCCUGUGUGCUGCUGUGCUGGGAGGAGAGGAGCAGCAGCAGUCGUGGGGCUCUGUUGCUGCUGUCACUGGUGCAGCUGUUCACUCCUGCAGCUACCUUCCCUCAACAUACUGUGUCUUCCCUCACCUGCAAUGAACAACUAUGAACAAUACUUCUCCUGCGAUGAGGAACAGUGAAUAACACCUCUCUCUCUCUCUCUCUCUCUCUCUCUCUCUCUCUCUCUCUCUCUCUCUCUCUCUCUCUCUCUCUCUCUCUCUCUCUCUCUCUCUCUCUCUCUCUCCAGUAUGUCCCCCACAGUAUGUUUACAAACCCACAGUGACUCUCCACAGCCCCUCACCAACAAUUGUCUCCUUCACACACACACACACACACACACACACACACACUGUUGGAAUCUUGUAGUGUCUACAACAAUGAAUGGAACCAAAAUCGAUAAGCCAAAUUUUCUUCCAGCCUGCGUGAGUGUAGUGAGGCUCAAUGUGUGUGUACAAGUGAAGAGUAUAUAUUAGAUGCAUGACUUAAAAAUAUGAGGCUUACACAAAAAUACAGGACAUAACUUGAGUGUGGUGAGUCAAAGGGGAGUCAAAAUGCUCAACUUUGAAUUAAUUUACAACAAAAAGUAACUAAAUAAACACACUAUAAAAAAAAAAUCUCAUCAAUUAACACUGAAAAAAAAAAUAUAUAUAUAUAUAUACACCUACGCAAAAUAAAUAAAUAAAUAAAUAAAUGAAGACUAAAUAAACCAAAUUAAUCUGAACGCUAACACACAAACCAAUAUAGUCAUAUAUUUUUAAACACUACGGUGAAGAAAGAUAAUGAAGCUUUAACAUUGAGUGAAAGAGAGAGAGAGAAAUUUGUGGUCUUCCUAAAUCUCUCUCUCUCUCUCUCUCUCUCUCUCUCUCUCUCUCUCUCUCUCUCUCUCUCUCUCUCUCUCUCUCUCUCUCUCUCUC
This is a long non-coding RNA of Scylla paramamosain (green mud crab), 2474 nucleotides long. RefSeq lists it as uncharacterized. Lineage: Eukaryota; Metazoa; Arthropoda; Malacostraca; Decapoda; Portunidae. The record is from RefSeq and is a predicted model, not a curated record. The transcript has 6 exons.